Molecule: ribosomal RNA, 2923 nt
Filed under: Klebsiella pneumoniae
Lineage: Bacteria; Pseudomonadati; Pseudomonadota; Gammaproteobacteria; Enterobacterales; Enterobacteriaceae
Also listed under: 1 other name
Description: bacterial LSU rRNA
Rfam family: Bacterial large subunit ribosomal RNA
Source: RNAcentral
GGGUUGUGAGGUUAAGCGACUAAGCGUACACGGUGGAUGCCCUGGCAGUCAGAGGCGAUGAAGGACGUGCUAAUCUGCGAAAAGCGUCGGUAAGGUGAUAUGAACCGUUAUAACCGGCGAUGUCCGAAUGGGGAAACCCAGUGCAAUUCGUUGCACUAUCGUUAACUGAAUACAUAGGUUAACGAGGCGAACCGGGGGAACUGAAACAUCUAAGUACCCCGAGGAAAAGAAAUCAACCGAGAUUCCCCCAGUAGCGGCGAGCGAACGGGGAGCAGCCCAGAGUCUGAAUCAGCUUGUGUGUUAGUGGAACGGUCUGGAAAGUCCGACGGUACAGGGUGAUAGUCCCGUACACCAAAAUGCACAGGUUGUGAACUCGAAGAGUAGGGCGGGACACGUGGUAUCCUGUCUGAAUAUGGGGGGACCAUCCUCCAAGGCUAAAUACUCCUGACUGACCGAUAGUGAACCAGUACCGUGAGGGAAAGGCGAAAAGAACCCCGGCGAGGGGAGUGAAAAAGAACCUGAAACCGUGUACGUACAAGCAGUGGGAGCACCUUCGGGUGUGACUGCGUACCUUUUGUAUAAUGGGUCAGCGACUUAUAUUCUGUAGCAAGGUUAACCGUAUAGGGGAGCCGCAGGGAAACCGAGUCUUAACUGGGCGUUAAGUUGCAGGGUAUAGACCCGAAACCCGGUGAUCUAGCCAUGGGCAGGUUGAAGGUUGGGUAACACUAACUGGAGGACCGAACCGACUAAUGUUGAAAAAUUAGCGGAUGACUUGUGGCUGGGGGUGAAAGGCCAAUCAAACCGGGAGAUAGCUGGUUCUCCCCGAAAGCUAUUUAGGUAGCGCCUCGUGAAUUCAUCUUCGGGGGUAGAGCACUGUUUCGGCUAGGGGGUCAUCCCGACUUACCAACCCGAUGCAAACUACGAAUACCGAAGAAUGUUAUCACGGGAGACACACGGCGGGUGCUAACGUCCGUCGUGAAGAGGGAAACAACCCAGACCGCCAGCUAAGGUCCCAAAGUCAUGGUUAAGUGGGAAACGAUGUGGGAAGGCACAGACAGCCAGGAUGUUGGCUUAGAAGCAGCCAUCAUUUAAAGAAAGCGUAAUAGCUCACUGGUCGAGUCGGCCUGCGCGGAAGAUGUAACGGGGCUAAACCAUGCACCGAAGCUGCGGCAGCGACACUAUGUGUUGUUGGGUAGGGGAGCGUUCUGUAAGCCUGCGAAGGUGACCUGUGAGGGUUGCUGGAGGUAUCAGAAGUGCGAAUGCUGACAUAAGUAACGAUAAAGCGGGUGAAAAGCCCGCUCGCCGGAAGACCAAGGGUUCCUGUCCAACGUUAAUCGGGGCAGGGUGAGUCGACCCCUAAGGCGAGGCCGAAAGGCGUAGUCGAUGGGAAACAGGUUAAUAUUCCUGUACUUGGUGUUACUGCGAAGGGGGGACGGAGAAGGCUAUGUUAGCCGGGCGACGGUUGUCCCGGUUUAAGCAUGUAGGCUGGUUGUCCAGGCAAAUCCGGAUAAUCAAGGCUGAGGUGUGAUGACGAGGCACUACGGUGCUGAAGUAACAAAUGCCCUGCUUCCAGGAAAAGCCUCUAAGCAUCAGGUAACAUUAAAUCGUACCCCAAACCGACACAGGUGGUCAGGUAGAGAAUACCAAGGCGCUUGAGAGAACUCGGGUGAAGGAACUAGGCAAAAUGGUGCCGUAACUUCGGGAGAAGGCACGCUGGUGUGUAGGUGAAGUCCCUGCGGAUGGAGCUGAGACCAGUCGAAGAUACCAGCUGGCUGCAACUGUUUAUUAAAAACACAGCACUGUGCAAACACGAAAGUGGACGUAUACGGUGUGACGCCUGCCCGGUGCCGGAAGGUUAAUUGAUGGGGUUAUCCGUAAGGAGAAGCUCUUGAUCGAAGCCCCGGUAAACGGCGGCCGUAACUAUAACGGUCCUAAGGUAGCGAAAUUCCUUGUCGGGUAAGUUCCGACCUGCACGAAUGGCGUAAUGAUGGCCAGGCUGUCUCCACCCGAGACUCAGUGAAAUUGAACUCGCUGUGAAGAUGCAGUGUACCCGCGGCAAGACGGAAAGACCCCGUGAACCUUUACUAUAGCUUGACACUGAACAUUGAGCCUUGAUGUGUAGGAUAGGUGGGAGGCUUUGAAGCGUGGACGCCAGUCUGCGUGGAGCCAACCUUGAAAUACCACCCUUUAAUGUUUGAUGUUCUAACGUUGGCCCCUUACCGGGGUUGCGGACAGUGUCUGGUGGGUAGUUUGACUGGGGCGGUCUCCUCCCAAAGCGUAACGGAGGAGCACGAAGGUUAGCUAAUCCUGGUCGGACAUCAGGAGGUUAGUGCAAUGGCAUAAGCUAGCUUGACUGCGAGCGUGACGGCGCGAGCAGGUGCGAAAGCAGGUCAUAGUGAUCCGGUGGUUCUGAAUGGAAGGGCCAUCGCUCAACGGAUAAAAGGUACUCCGGGGAUAACAGGCUGAUACCGCCCAAGAGUUCAUAUCGACGGCGGUGUUUGGCACCUCGAUGUCGGCUCAUCACAUCCUGGGGCUGAAGUAGGUCCCAAGGGUAUGGCUGUUCGCCAUUUAAAGUGGUACGCGAGCUGGGUUUAGAACGUCGUGAGACAGUUCGGUCCCUAUCUGCCGUGGGCGCUGGAGAAUUGAGGGGGGCUGCUCCUAGUACGAGAGGACCGGAGUGGACGCAUCACUGGUGUUCGGGUUGUCAUGCCAAUGGCACUGCCCGGUAGCUAAAUGCGGAAGAGAUAAGUGCUGAAAGCAUCUAAGCACGAAACUUGCCCCGAGAUGAGUUCUCCCUGAGACUUUAAGUCUCCUGAAGGAACGUUAAAGACGAUGACGUUGAUAGGCCGGGUGUGUAAGCGCAGCGAUGCGUUGAGCUAACCGGUACUAAUGAACCGUGAGGCUUAACCUUACAACGCCGAAG